RNAcentral lists this signal recognition particle RNA (297 nucleotides) under Oncorhynchus mykiss (rainbow trout). RNAcentral's name for it is "Metazoan signal recognition particle RNA (ENSOMYG00000064705.1)". It matches the Rfam family "Metazoan signal recognition particle RNA". From Rfam's summary of the family: The signal recognition particle (SRP) is a universally conserved ribonucleoprotein. It is involved in the co-translational targeting of proteins to membranes. The record is from RNAcentral. Lineage: Eukaryota; Metazoa; Chordata; Actinopteri; Salmoniformes; Salmonidae.
GCCGGGUGCGGUGGCAUGUGCCUGUAAUCCAAGUCACUGGGAGGCUGAGGUUGGUGGAUCAAGUGAGCUGAGGAGCUCUGGGCUGCAGCACGCUAUGUCGAACGGGUGUCCACGCUAAGUUCGGUAUCGAUAUGGUGUUCCUGGGGAGCCCGGGACCACCAGGUUGUCUAAGGAGGGUGAACCGGCCCAGGUCGGAAACGAAGCAGGUCAAAUCCCCCGUGCUGUCCAGUAGUGGGAUAAUACCUGUGAGUAGAUGCUGCAGUGCAGCCUUGGCAAAACAUCGAGACCUAAUCUUUU